RNAcentral lists this ribosomal RNA (357 nucleotides) under uncultured bacterium. RNAcentral's name for it is "partial 16S ribosomal RNA". It matches the Rfam family "Bacterial small subunit ribosomal RNA", at positions 338 to 694 of the family's 1533-position model. The record is from RNAcentral.
CCUACGGGGGGCUGCAGUGAGGAAUAUUGGUCAAUGGGCGAGAGCCUGAACCAGCCAAGUCGCGUGAGGGAGUACUGCCCUAUGGGUUGUAAACCUCUUUUGUCGGGGAGCAAAAGCCGGACGUGUCCGGCUUUGAGAUUACCUGAAUAAAAAGCAUCGGCAAACUCCGUGCCAGCAGCCGCGGUAAUACGGAGGAUGCGAGCGUUAUCCGGAUUUAUUGGGUUUAAAGGGUGCGCAGGCGGAUUUUUAAGUCAGCGGUAAAAUCGUGGGGCUCAACCCCAUCCAGCCGUUGAAACUGGGGAUCUAGAGUGUGCGAGGGGUAUGCGGAAUGCGUGGUGUAGCGGGGAAAGGCAAAGA